Megalobrama amblycephala (Wuchang bream) is the source of this 926-nucleotide long non-coding RNA. RefSeq lists it as uncharacterized. The record is from RefSeq and is a predicted model, not a curated record. NCBI's taxonomy places the organism in Eukaryota, Metazoa, Chordata, Actinopteri, Cypriniformes, Xenocyprididae. The transcript is spliced from 3 exons.
UAAAAUCACAUUUUGAGAUAAAAGUUACAUUGCGUGAAAUAAAGUCACUGGUACAAGAAACGAAGUUGCCACUGCGAUGUAUAAUGUCACAAUGUGAGAUAUAAAGUCAUAUUUAAAGGUAAAACAUCACAUUUUGAGAUAUAAAGUCAUAGUUAUGAGAUAUAAAGUCACAUUACAAGAUUUAAAGUCACACUGUGAGAUAUCAAGUCAUAAUUUGAGAUAUUUUCGUCAAAUUGUGAGAUAGAGUCCCAAUUGUGAGUCAUAUUUUGACAUAUAAAUGUAACAGGUAUACAAAGUAUAAUACUAAAUAUUGUUAUAAUUCACACAAAAUUGUUCUAUUGUACGUUUUAUGAUACCUGAUCUAAAGGUGCGCUUCUCCUUUAAGUGUUGCGUGGUCACAGUAUGACCUAAUUUCCUGUCCUAACUCCUCCUCUUCCCUUUUGAAAUGUGAUUCUAUGGAAGAGAGUGUUAUAAGGGCCACUCAAUCUGAGGCUGCUUAUUUUGUCUCUGUUAUACAGUAAAUGAUCCAGUGAAUCUGCUGCCUGCUGUCCCGUGUCUGUUUCUACACCCACACAACGUAACACAACGCAGACCAAGUUUUAAUACCCGGUGUCGCUGGCCGCACAUCACGCUGGGCAUAAGCGAGCCGCACGGGUUACAUAAAGUCACAUUAACAGAUUUAAAGUCACAUGGUGAGAUAUCAAGUCAUAAUUUGAGAUAUUUUUGCAAUUUUGAGAUAUAAAGUCAGAUUACGAAAUUUUAAGUCACACAGCGAGAUAAAAAGUUGUGAAAUAUAAAGUAAAUUGUCUGAGAUAUAGUCGCAAUUGUGAGACAGUAAGAUUUUGAGAAAGUCACAUUAUGAGAUUUAAAGUCACACUGCGAGAUAAAGUUACACUGUGAGAAAUAAAGUCAAAUUGUGAGAUAUA